GCCCUUUUCAUUUGCGGAUCGAGAUCCUAUAUCCCUCCUGCCGGGUUCGCCCGGCUAUGAUGAUAAACUGCGGCGUGGAAUAGGCGCAGCGGACCCGGGGGCGGUACCCGGCGGCUCCACCAUCAUCUCCGCUCCGGCGGGGACGUUGACGGGGCCGAACUAGGAUCGACGUGUGUUCAAAGGCGCUGUUUUCAUCCGGGCUGAGUAACCCGUAAAAGGCUCAAAACCCAUAAGUGCCAACGAUAACGAAGCACUUGCUCUCGCUGCGUAAUUCUAGGGGCUAACGCCCUGAAGUUACAAGGUUAGAACGCGGUCGGGCCGACCGGGCAACAGAACGGAUUCCAGCGGCUUGGGGGGUGCCGGGCAACAGAAACCCCCUACC
This 382-nucleotide transfer-messenger RNA is filed under the name Novosphingobium piscinae. It matches the Rfam family "Alphaproteobacteria transfer-messenger RNA". Rfam says of the family: Bacterial tmRNA, also known as 10Sa RNA or SsrA, is named for its dual tRNA and mRNA-like properties. Its role is to liberate the mRNA from a stalled ribosome. The record is from RNAcentral. Lineage: Bacteria; Pseudomonadati; Pseudomonadota; Alphaproteobacteria; Sphingomonadales; Sphingomonadaceae.